UACAGAGGUCUCAAGCGUUGUUCGGAUUCAUUGGGCGUAAAGGGUGCGUAGGCGGCGCGGUAAGUCGGGUGUGAAAUCUCGGAGCUUAACUCCGAAACUGCAUUCGAUACUACCGUGCUUGAGGACUGGAGAGGAGACUGGAAUUUACGGUGUAGCGGUGAAAUGCGUGGAUAUCGUAAGGAAGACCAGUGGCGAAGGCGGGUCUCUGGACAGUUCCUGACGCUGAGGCACGAAGGUCAGGGGAGCAAACGGG
Molecule: ribosomal RNA, 253 nt
Filed under: uncultured bacterium
Lineage: Bacteria
Description: partial 16S ribosomal RNA
Rfam family: Bacterial small subunit ribosomal RNA
Source: RNAcentral